CCUACGGGAGGCAGCAGUGAGGAAUAUUGGUCAAUGGGCGGAAGCCUGAACCAGCCAAGUAGCGUGCAGGAUGACGGCCCUACGGGUUGUAAACUGCUUUUAUACGGGAAUAACGCGCCGUACGUGUAGGGCUUUGCAUGUACCGUAUGAAUAAGGACCGGCUAAUUCCGUGCCAGCAGCCGCGGUACUACGGAAGGUCCGGGCGUUAUCCGGAUUUAUUGGGUUGAAAGGGAGCGUAGGCCGCAUGGCAAGCGUGCUGUGUAAUUUCCGGGCUCAACCCGGGCCUUGCAGCGCUAACUGGCGUUCUUGAUUCCGCGGCAACCAGGCGGAAUUCGUCGUGUAGCGGU
Molecule: ribosomal RNA, 347 nt
Filed under: uncultured bacterium
Lineage: Bacteria
Description: partial 16S ribosomal RNA
Rfam family: Bacterial small subunit ribosomal RNA
Source: RNAcentral